CCGGUGAGUGAGGACCCGCUCAUGGCGAUCACCUGUCCGCUUGGUGAGAGAUCUUCUGCCUGCUUUGCGAGAAAUAGGAAUGAUGUGAUCCCAUAAUAUUGUGCCGGCUAUCUGUUUGAAUCGAUUCCGUCUCCAGCACAGACACAUCUUAUUUUUCAGUGCACCUUCUCAGACCUGCAAUCUAAUCUGAAAAGGGGUGUAAAGAUGAUGAUUUCAAAAAGCGCCAGACUAGCGAAGGAGAUGGAAAGUUUUACACUCAAUUUUCGGUCUGAUUAGACAGCAAAACAUUACCGAAAAUAUAAUGUCUUCUAUGAAUUAAUUGUAAA
Long non-coding RNA from Drosophila sechellia, 326 nucleotides. RefSeq lists it as uncharacterized. The record is from RefSeq and is a predicted model, not a curated record. NCBI's taxonomy places the organism in Eukaryota, Metazoa, Arthropoda, Insecta, Diptera, Drosophilidae. The transcript has 2 exons.